Molecule: ribosomal RNA, 93 nt
Filed under: uncultured bacterium
Lineage: Bacteria
Description: partial 16S ribosomal RNA
Source: RNAcentral
CGUAAAGCCCUGUCGGAGGGGAAGAUGCUUUUGCUGUCUAAUAGAUAGCAGAGGUGACGGUACCCUUAAAGGAAGCACCGGCUAACUCUGUGC